This 170-nucleotide ribosomal RNA is filed under the name uncultured bacterium. RNAcentral describes it as "partial 16S ribosomal RNA". It matches the Rfam family "Bacterial small subunit ribosomal RNA", at positions 338 to 525 of the family's 1533-position model. The record is from RNAcentral.
CCUACGGGAGGCAGCAGUGGGGAAUUUUGCGCAAUGGGGGAAACCCUGACGCAGCAACGCCGCGUGGAGGAUGACGUAUCUUGGCAUGUAAACUCCUUUCGAUCGGGACGAUAAUGACGGUACCGAGAGAAGAAGCCCCGGCUAACUUCGUGCCAGCAGCCGCGGUAAUA